Long non-coding RNA from Vitis riparia (riverbank grape), 171 nucleotides. RefSeq lists it as uncharacterized. The record is from RefSeq and is a predicted model, not a curated record. The transcript has 3 exons. Lineage: Eukaryota; Viridiplantae; Streptophyta; Magnoliopsida; Vitales; Vitaceae.
UUGGAAAUAGAGAAAGAACUUAAGCGCUUGAAUAAGCCAGCAGUGAAGACUAUUAAGACAAAAUAUGGAGAUAUAUAUGAUUGUGUGGACUUCUACAAACAACCUGCAUUUGAUCAUCCUUUAUUGAAGAAUCAUAAUUUUCAUCCCCAGAUGAGGCCAACAUCACCUCCU